CCUACGGGAGGCUGCAGUGAGGAAUAUUGGUCAAUGGCCGAGAGGCUGAACCAGCCAAGUCGCGUGAGGGAAGAAUGUCCUAUGGAUUGUAAACCUCUUUUGUCAGGGAGCAAAGUCACCCACGUGUGGGUGUUGGAGAGUACCUGAAGAAAAAGCAUCGGCUAACUCCGUGCCAGCAGCCGCGGUAAUACGGAGGAUGCGAGCGUUAUCCGGAAUGACUGGGCGUAAAGGGUGCGUAGGUGGUUUGGCAAGUUGGUAGCGUAAUCCCGGGGCUCAACCUCGGUGCUACUACCAAAACUGUUGAACUUGAGUGCAGGAGGGGUGAAUGGAAUUCCCAGUGUAGCGGUGGAAUGCGUAGAUAUUGGGAAGAACACCAGCGGCGAAGGCGAUUCACUGGACUGUAACUGACACUGAGGCACGAAAGCGUGGGGAGCAAACAGGAUUAGAUACCCUUGUAGUC
Molecule: ribosomal RNA, 460 nt
Filed under: uncultured bacterium
Lineage: Bacteria
Description: partial 16S ribosomal RNA
Rfam family: Bacterial small subunit ribosomal RNA
Source: RNAcentral